AUGUUGACUUAAUGCUUGGGACAUUUAUACAAUUUCAUGCGACUAUAAAAAGGCCAUUUAAGCCUGUAGUUGGUAUAAGUGAAUUAUUCGCUCACAGAACAUGAGGGUCGCACUUCUACUGAUUGUACUUGUAGCUCUAAGCCUCGCAACAGGCGAGAUGCAAAACCAAGGAAAAUAUGUUGAAAGCCGGUUAAGGAGGGCUAUUAUUGGUGCAGUGUCCAGUGUGGAGAUAAAGCCAAAAGAAGAUAACCGUCCUUGACCCUCCAGCGGCUGACAUAAGUAAACACGUUGCGUCGCCUAGCUACGGGGAUGACAGCGUGUUUAUUUCGGACAAAUCCAUAAAUUCAGUUGAUGAAUGAAUAUUUUGAAAUUCCGGAUGACAGCAUAGAUGGACUCAUGAGGCCGAAUUUAUCUGCAAAACAGCUGCAACAAAUUUAAGGACAAAAUUUCAUUAAUUGUAUAGUAGUGACGAUUUUCAGGAACUUAAACCUGUUAAAAUGCAGACAUUGAAGCUACCCAAUGAAACACAAUUUAUUAAAUUUUAUCAUUUUAUAACUUUGUACGGAAUAUUAUUCAUUUGCUAAAGUUAUGUUUUUGUCGCCUUUGAAAUAAAGAUGUUCGGCGAGUAAUGACUGCCGAAAACAGAAAGUCUUAGCAGACAUGUUCCGGUGGGAUGUAUCGUCGAUAUUAUCUUUAUUUUUGUAAAAUAUUGUUUUCGAAAAUUGCUUAUAUUUAUACAAUGUAUAUGCUAAAUAUAUAUAUUCUGAAAAUCA
This is a long non-coding RNA of Ruditapes philippinarum (Manila clam), 773 nucleotides long. RefSeq lists it as uncharacterized. Lineage: Eukaryota; Metazoa; Mollusca; Bivalvia; Venerida; Veneridae. The transcript is spliced from 4 exons. The record is from RefSeq and is a predicted model, not a curated record.